AGCUUUGCGCAGGGGCAGUAUUGAAGCCAAUGAGGUUGAUCCGAGGCGCGAUUAUUGCUAAUUGAAAACUUUUCCCAAUACCCCGACUUGAAACAUAGUCGGCCCUGGCGAUUUUUGAGUCUCUACGGAGA
This is a small nuclear RNA of Callithrix jacchus (white-tufted-ear marmoset), 131 nucleotides long. Its record names the gene U4. It matches the Rfam family "U4 spliceosomal RNA". From Rfam's summary of the family: U4 small nuclear RNA (U4 snRNA) is a component of the major U2-dependent spliceosome. The structure of U4 snRNA from yeast and human has been reported. NCBI's taxonomy places the organism in Eukaryota, Metazoa, Chordata, Mammalia, Primates, Cebidae. The record is from Ensembl.